GGAUUCCCCUAGUAACUGCGAGUGAACCGGGAAAAGCUCAAAUUUAAAAUCUGAUAGUCUUUUGGCUGUCCGAGUUGUAAUCUAGAGAAGUGUUAUCCGCGCUGGACCGUGUAUAAGUCUCCUGGAAUGGAGCGUCAUAGAGGGUGAGAAUCCCGUCUUUGACACGGACUGCCAGGGCUUUGUGAUGCGCUCUCAAAGAGUCGAGUUGUUUGGGAAUGCAGCUCAAAAUGGGUGGUAAAUUCCAUCUAAAGCUAAAUAUUGGCGAGAGACCGAUAGCGAACAAGUACCGUGAGGGAAAGAUGAAAAGAACUUUGGAAAGAGAGUUAAACAGUACGUGAAAUUGCUGAAAGGGAAACGCUUGAAGUCAGUCGCGUUGGCCGGGGAUCAACCUUGCUUUUGCUGGGCGUACUUUCCGGUUGACGGGUCAGCAUCAAUUUUGAUUGUUGGAUAAAGUCAAGGGAAAUGUGGCAUCUUAGGAUGUGUUAUAAUCUCUUGUCGUAUACAACGGUUGGGAUUGAGGAACUCAGCACGCCGCAAGGCCGAGUACUUGUACUACGUUCGUGCUUAGGAUGCUGGCAUAAUGGCUUUAAUCGACCCGUCUUGAAACACGGACCAAGGAGUCUAACAUGCCUGCGAGUGUUUGGGUGGAAAACUCGAGCGCGUAAUGAAAGUGAAAGUUGAGAUCCCUGUCGUGGGGAGCAUCGACGCCCGGACCAGACCUUUUUGUGACGGAUCCGCGGUAGAGCAUGUAUGUUGGGACCCGAAAGAUGGUGAACUAUGCCUGAAUAGGGUGAAGCCAGAGGAAACUCUGGUGGA
RNAcentral lists this ribosomal RNA (816 nucleotides) under Agrocybe elenae. Its description in RNAcentral is "Agrocybe sp. EM-2022b partial large subunit ribosomal RNA". It matches the Rfam family "Eukaryotic large subunit ribosomal RNA", at positions 72 to 871 of the family's 3401-position model. The record is from RNAcentral. Lineage: Eukaryota; Fungi; Basidiomycota; Agaricomycetes; Agaricales; Agrocybaceae.